UAGGGAAUAUUGGUAAUGUGCGAAAGCGCGAACCAGCAACGCCGCGUGCACGAUGAAGGCCUUCGGGUCGUAAAGUGCUUUUAGAGAGGAUGAGGAAGGACAGUACCCUCAGAAUAAGCCUCGGCUAACUACGUGCCAGCAGCCGCGGUAAAACGUAGGAGGCGAGCGUUAUCCGGAUUUACUGGGCGUAAAGCGCGUGCAGGCGGAUUGGAGAGUUGGAUGUGAAAGCUCCCGGCUUAACUGGGAGAGGUCGUUCAAUACUUCCAGUCUUGAGUGCAGUAGAGGGAAGUGGAAUUCCGGGUGUAGUGGUGAAAUGCGUAGAUAUCCGGAGGAACACCAGUGGCGAAAGCGGCUUCCUGGACUGUAACUGACGCUCAGACGCGAAAGCUAGGGUAGCAAACG
Molecule: ribosomal RNA, 402 nt
Filed under: uncultured bacterium
Lineage: Bacteria
Description: bacterial SSU rRNA
Rfam family: Bacterial small subunit ribosomal RNA
Source: RNAcentral